Molecule: ribosomal RNA, 1429 nt
Filed under: Pediococcus pentosaceus
Lineage: Bacteria; Bacillati; Bacillota; Bacilli; Lactobacillales; Lactobacillaceae
Description: bacterial SSU rRNA
Rfam family: Bacterial small subunit ribosomal RNA
Source: RNAcentral
UGACGUACUUGUACUGAUUGAGAUUUUAACACGAAGUGAGUGGCGAACGGGUGAGUAACACGUGGGUAACCUGCCCAGAAGUAGGGGAUAACACCUGGAAACAGAUGCUAAUACCGUAUAACAGAGAAAACCGCAUGGUUUUCUUUUAAAAGAUGGCUCUGCUAUCACUUCUGGAUGGACCCGCGGCGUAUUAGCUAGUUGGUGAGGUAAAGGCUCACCAAGGCAGUGAUACGUAGCCGACCUGAGAGGGUAAUCGGCCACAUUGGGACUGAGACACGGCCCAGACUCCUACGGGAGGCAGCAGUAGGGAAUCUUCCACAAUGGACGCAAGUCUGAUGGAGCAACGCCGCGUGAGUGAAGAAGGGUUUCGGCUCGUAAAGCUCUGUUGUUAAAGAAGAACGUGGGUAAGAGUAACUGUUUACCCAGUGACGGUAUUUAACCAGAAAGCCACGGCUAACUACGUGCCAGCAGCCGCGGUAAUACGUAGGUGGCAAGCGUUAUCCGGAUUUAUUGGGCGUAAAGCGAGCGCAGGCGGUCUUUUAAGUCUAAUGUGAAAGCCUUCGGCUCAACCGAAGAAGUGCAUUGGAAACUGGGAGACUUGAGUGCAGAAGAGGACAGUGGAACUCCAUGUGUAGCGGUGAAAUGCGUAGAUAUAUGGAAGAACACCAGUGGCGAAGGCGGCUGUCUGGUCUGCAACUGACGCUGAGGCUCGAAAGCAUGGGUAGCGAACAGGAUUAGAUACCCUGGUAGUCCAUGCCGUAAACGAUGAUUACUAAGUGUUGGAGGGUUUCCGCCCUUCAGUGCUGCAGCUAACGCAUUAAGUAAUCCGCCUGGGGAGUACGACCGCAAGGUUGAAACUCAAAAGAAUUGACGGGGGCCCGCACAAGCGGUGGAGCAUGUGGUUUAAUUCGAAGCUACGCGAAGAACCUUACCAGGUCUUGACAUCUUCUGACAGUCUAAGAGAUUAGACGUUCCCUUCGGGGACAGAAUGACAGGUGGUGCAUGGUUGUCGUCAGCUCGUGUCGUGAGAUGUUGGGUUAAGUCCCGCAACGAGCGCAACCCUUAUUACUAGUUGCCAGCAUUAAGUUGGGCACUCUAGUGAGACUGCCGGUGACAAACCGGAGGAAGGUGGGGACGACGUCAAAUCAUCAUGCCCCUUAUGACCUGGGCUACACACGUGCUACAAUGGAUGGUACAACGAGUCGCGAAACCGCGAGGUUAAGCUAAUCUCUUAAAACCAUUCUCAGUUCGGACUGUAGGCUGCAACUCGCCUACACGAAGUCGGAAUCGCUAGUAAUCGCGGAUCAGCAUGCCGCGGUGAAUACGUUCCCGGGCCUUGUACACACCGCCCGUCACACCAUGAGAGUUUGUAACACCCAAAGCCGGUGGGGUAACCUUUUAGGAGCUAGCCGUCUAAGGGACAGAAUUU